UUGGGGCGUAGCCAAGUGAUUUAAGGCACAGGGUUUUGACCUCUGCAUGCGCAGGUUUGAAUCCUGCCGCCCAAGCCA
RNAcentral lists this transfer RNA (78 nucleotides) under Candidatus Thiodiazotropha sp. (ex Lucinoma aequizonata). RNAcentral's name for it is "tRNA-Gln". It matches the Rfam family "tRNA". From Rfam's summary of the family: Transfer RNA (tRNA) molecules are approximately 80 nucleotides in length. Their secondary structure includes four short double-helical elements and three loops (D, anti-codon, and T loops). Lineage: Bacteria; Pseudomonadati; Pseudomonadota; Gammaproteobacteria; Chromatiales; Sedimenticolaceae. The record is from RNAcentral.